Molecule: ribosomal RNA, 262 nt
Filed under: uncultured archaeon
Lineage: Archaea
Description: partial 16S ribosomal RNA
Rfam family: Archaeal small subunit ribosomal RNA
Source: RNAcentral
UAGCCGUAAACGAUACUCGCUAGGUGUCGGCCACGGUGCGACCGUUGUCGGUGCCGUAGGGAAGCCGUGAAGCGAGCCACCUGGGAAGUACGGCCGCAAGGCUGAAACUUAAAGGAAUUGGCGGGGGAGCACAACAACGGGUGGAGCUUGCGGUUUAAUUGGAUUUCAACGCCGGAAAUCUUACCGGGACCGACAGCAACAUGAAGGCCAGGCUGAAGACUUUGCCGGAUUAGCUGAGAGGAGGUGCAUGGCGUAGUCGUGU